Molecule: ribosomal RNA, 255 nt
Filed under: uncultured bacterium
Lineage: Bacteria
Description: partial 16S ribosomal RNA
Rfam family: Bacterial small subunit ribosomal RNA
Source: RNAcentral
UACGGGGGGGAGCAAGCGUUGUUCGGAUUUACUGGGCGUAAAGGGCGCGUAGGCGGCCACCGCAAGUCAAUUGUGAAAUCUCCGGGCUUAACUCGGAAAGGUCAACUGAUACUGCGGGGCUAGAGUGCGGAAGGGGCAACUGGAAUUCUCGGUGUAGCGGUGAAAUGCGUAGAUAUCGAGAGGAACACCUGCGGCGAAGGCGGGUUGCUGGGCCGACACUGACGCUGAUGCGCGAAAGCCAGGGGAGCGAACGGG